RNAcentral lists this ribosomal RNA (387 nucleotides) under uncultured bacterium. Its description in RNAcentral is "partial 16S ribosomal RNA". It matches the Rfam family "Bacterial small subunit ribosomal RNA", at positions 338 to 722 of the family's 1533-position model. The record is from RNAcentral.
CCUACGGGAGGCAGCAGUGAGGAAUAUUGGUCAAUGGACGGAAGUCUGAACCAGCCAUGCCGCGUGCAGGAAGACGGCUCUAUGAGUUGUAAACUGCUUUUGUACAAGGGUAAACCUGAAUACGUGUAUUCAGCUGAAUGUACUGUACGAAUAAGCAUCGGCUAACUCCGUGCCAGCAGCCGCGGUAAUACGGAGGGGGCAAGCGUUAUCCGGAUUUAUUGGGUGUAAAGGGAGCGUAGACGGCAGCAAAAGUCUGGAGUGAAAUCCCGGGGCUUAACCCGGGAACUGCUUUGGAAACUGUGCGGCUUGAGUGUGGGCAGGGUAAGCGGAAUUCGUGGUGUAGCGGUGAAAUGCGUAGAUAUUAGGAAGAACACCGGUGGCGAAGGC